Long non-coding RNA from Podarcis raffonei (Aeolian wall lizard), 982 nucleotides. RefSeq lists it as uncharacterized. The transcript has 4 exons. Lineage: Eukaryota; Metazoa; Chordata; Lepidosauria; Squamata; Lacertidae. The record is from RefSeq and is a predicted model, not a curated record.
CAUUUCCCAGGACAUCACGUGAGACCUCGUUCAUCUCCUGCACCACCAGCUUCACCACAUCUUCUGCCGACAUCUUGUUGGUGAGGUGCAGCUGUGCAGAAAUAGAGUACAAUGCUAGAUUCUUCAAGAAACCAUGUGAGUGGGAUGCCACCAGAAGGCUGCUUGUACCGGGCAUGCUGCAAUGCAUCCAUCAUCCAGCGCAUUUCUCGCCAAAUCUCCUCCAUUUGCUGUCCAAGAGAAAGACAUAGAAUCAGCUCCUUUUUUGACACUGAAAAAUCAUUCAGGAGGCUGCGCAGCAGGCUAGCCACAAGCCUGGAUUGAAAGCCCUACCUGGAGAUGUUUGGGUUGCUUCGUAUCUUCACAUGACAUAAUAUGUUGGGUAAACGUUCAGGCACCAGCACUCGGAUCUGGUCAACAGCACUACAGAGCUUCAGCUUCCUGGAUCCAACCAAGACCAAAAGCCUCAGGAGACAGACUGGCACGGGGCAGGAGGCACCAGAAAUUUUACAAAGGAGACUGUUGUUGUCAGAUAUCCAGACUAGUGCUGCAAUCUCCAGGAACAGAGACUGCGUUGAACUGGCCCUUUAGUGGUUUGGCCUUUGCUAAUCCUGGCAAUGGCUUUGAAUAAGCACUUUCAAUAGACCCUUGUACAGGUGCUUGAGUGCCUUUUGUUGCUGGAGACACUUGGCUGACUGAGAGGAAAUGAAAAGAGAGAGGAACAACUAAACGAGGGGUCAAGAGGAGGAGGAAAGGCUGGGCACUCACGGAAGGGAUUCUUUGCUAAGACCUGCUAACAAGCUGGGAAAACAACUGCAACUGGAUGCAAGAAGGGUAAAUGUAUCAAAAAUAGUUAUCUGAAUCCCUAGUGGGAAAACUUACACCUGGGAAACCAACUUUUCCUUUGCCUCUGCAAAAUGUCACAUACCUUGAAUAAAAACUAAGCAAAAAAGAAGCUGAACUUCUGCACUCCUAAACAGGGCUU